CGAAAUGCGAUAAGUAAUGUGAAUUGCAGAAUUCCGUGAAUCAUCGAAUCUUUGAACGCACAUUGCGCCCUCUGGCAUUCCGGGGGGCAUGCCUGUCCGAGCGUCAUUACGCAUCCUCAAGCCCGGCUGGUGUGAUGGGCCCUGGCGUCUCGUUCGCGAGACGGGCCCGAAAGGCAGCGGCGGCGUCGACCCGAUGAGCCCGAGCGUAUGGGGACUUUUGUCACACGUUUGCGGUGCGGACCGGCGCCUGCUUGACUUUUCUGAUUAUCCAGGUUGACCUCGGAUCAGGUAGGGAUACCCGCUGAACUUAAGC
RNAcentral lists this unclassified non-coding RNA (313 nucleotides) under plant metagenome. RNAcentral describes it as "partial contains 5.8S ribosomal RNA, internal transcribed spacer 2, and large subunit ribosomal RNA". The stretch from base 1 to 106 matches the Rfam family "5.8S ribosomal RNA", at positions 49 to 154 of the family's 154-position model. The record is from RNAcentral.